Molecule: ribosomal RNA, 396 nt
Filed under: uncultured bacterium
Lineage: Bacteria
Description: bacterial SSU rRNA
Rfam family: Bacterial small subunit ribosomal RNA
Source: RNAcentral
GACGAACGCUGGCGGCGUGCCUAACACAUGCAAGUGGAGCGACGAACCAGGCUUCGGCCUGGGGCAAAGCCGCGAACGGGUGAGUAACACGUGGGUAACCUGCCCCGAUGAUUGGGACAACCCGAGGAAACUCGGGCUAAUACCGAAUGUGCCCUCCGACCGCAAGGUCACUGGGGAAAGGAAGCUUCGGCCUCCGCAUCGGGAUGGGCCCGCGGCCCAUUAGCUUGUUGGUGAGGUAACGGCUCACCAAGGCGACGAUGGGUAGCUGGUCUGAGAGGACGAUCAGCCACACUGGGACUGAGACACGGCCCAGACUCCUACGGGAGGCAGCAGUGGGGAAUCUUGCGCAAUGCGCGAAAGCGUGACGCAGCAACGCCGCGUGGGGGAAGACGGCCU